AACGAACGCUGGCGGCAUGCCUAACACAUGCAAGUCGAACGAGACCUUCGGGUCUAGUGGCGCACGGGUGCGUAACGCGUGGGAACCUGCCCUUAGGUUCGGAAUAACUCCCCGAAAGGGGUGCUAAUACCGGAUAAUGUCUUCGGACCAAAGAUUUAUCGCCUUUGGAUGGGCCCGCGUUGGAUUAGCUAGUUGGUAGGGUAAAAGCCUACCAAGGCGACGAUCCAUAGCUGGUCUGGGAGGAUGAUCAGCCACACUGGGACUGAGACACGGCCCAGACUCCUACGGGAGGCAGCAGUGGGGAAUAUUGGACGAUGGGCGAAAGCCUGAUCCAGCAAUGCCGCGUGAGUGAUGAAGGCCUUAGGGUUGUAAAGCUCUUUUACCCGGGAUGAUAAUGACGGUACCGGGAGAAUAAGCUCCGGCUAACUCCGUG
RNAcentral lists this ribosomal RNA (433 nucleotides) under uncultured bacterium. RNAcentral describes it as "partial 16S ribosomal RNA". It matches the Rfam family "Bacterial small subunit ribosomal RNA", at positions 29 to 507 of the family's 1533-position model. The record is from RNAcentral.